This 496-nucleotide ribosomal RNA is filed under the name uncultured bacterium. RNAcentral describes it as "partial 16S ribosomal RNA". It matches the Rfam family "Bacterial small subunit ribosomal RNA", at positions 28 to 506 of the family's 1533-position model. The record is from RNAcentral.
GAUGAACGCUGGCGGCGUGCCUAAUACAUGCAAGUCGAGCGAACAGACGAGGAGCUUGCUCCUCUGACGUUAGCGGCGGACGGGUGAGUAACACGUGGAUAACCUACCUAUAAGACUGGGAUAACUUCGGGAAACCGGAGCUAAUACCGGAUAAUAUAUUGAACCGCAUGGUUCAAUAGUGAAAGACGGUUUUGCUGUCACUUAUAGAUGGAUCCGCGCCGCAUUAGCUAGUUGGUAAGGUAACGGCUUACCAAGGAGACGAUGCGUAGCCGACCUGAGAGGGGGAUCGGCCACACUGGAACGGAGACACGGUCCAGACUCCUACGGGAGGCAGCAGUAGGGAAUCUGCCGCAAUGGGCGAAAGCCUGACGGAGCAACGCCGCGUGAGUGAUGAAGGUCUUCGGUUCGUAAAACUCUGUUAUUAGGGAAGAACAAAUGUGUAAGUAACUAUGCACGUCUGGACGGUACCUAAGCAGAAAGCCACGGCUAACUACGU